UUAAAAAACAUAUAUUUUAUUAAAAUAACAUUAACAUACUUAAAUAAUUAAAUCGUCGUUUUCAUGCCAUCUUUCUAAAGGACUACGACAAUAGCCUUGGUAAUGACCUGAUGUGUACCGGACAAAUCCUCCUAGUACAAAAUUAUUUUGAAGAACAGAAAUUUUUUCCGGAAUUUCAGAAAUUUUUAUUCCUUUUGGAUAAUUAAUUUUGUUCGCUAUUAAAAAUAAUUGCAUUUCAAUAAUUAAAUAUGGUGCAGUUUUGAUUAAAACUU
Long non-coding RNA from Episyrphus balteatus (marmalade hoverfly), 272 nucleotides. RefSeq lists it as uncharacterized. The transcript is spliced from 2 exons. NCBI's taxonomy places the organism in Eukaryota, Metazoa, Arthropoda, Insecta, Diptera, Syrphidae. The record is from RefSeq and is a predicted model, not a curated record.